CUUCUCCCUGCCUGGUGAAUCUCAAGAGAGGCCAAGACAACCUGGACUGUGACAAGCGUGGAGGAUGAGGACCUGAGCAGCUCUGGGUGGCCUGGGUCACAGAGAAAGCUGGAGUCAGAGCCAGAACCGGAAUGUGCACGUAUGGGCCCAGUCUGCACAGACACCUCCA
Molecule: long non-coding RNA, 169 nt
Filed under: Chinchilla lanigera (long-tailed chinchilla)
Lineage: Eukaryota; Metazoa; Chordata; Mammalia; Rodentia; Chinchillidae
Description: lncRNA (ENSCLAG00000027022.1)
Source: RNAcentral